GAUGAACGCUGGCGGCGUGCCUAAUACAUGCAAGUCGAACGCUUCACAUAUGUGAAGAGUGGCGAACGGGUGAGUAAUACAUAAGUAACCUGGCCUUUACAGGGGGAUAACUGUUGGAAACGAUAGCUAAGACCGCAUAGGUGUGAUAACCGCAUGGAGAUGACAUGAAAUAUGCUACGGCAUAGGUAGAGGAUGGACUUAUGGCGCAUUAGCUAGUUGGAGGGGUAACGGCCCACCAAGGCGACGAUGCGUAGCCGACCUGAGAGGGUGACCGGCCACACUGGGACUGAGACACGGCCCAGACUCCUACGGGAGGCAGCAGUAGGGAAUUUUCGGCAAUGGGGGAAACCCUGACCGAGCAACGCCGCGUGAAGGAAGAAGUAAUUCGUUAUGUAAACUUCUGUCAUAGAGGAAGAACGGUGCGUGUAGGGAAUGACAUGCAAGUGACGGUACUCUAUAAGAAAGCCACGG
This 471-nucleotide ribosomal RNA is filed under the name uncultured bacterium. Its description in RNAcentral is "bacterial SSU rRNA". It matches the Rfam family "Bacterial small subunit ribosomal RNA", at positions 28 to 496 of the family's 1533-position model. The record is from RNAcentral.